Molecule: unclassified non-coding RNA, 378 nt
Filed under: uncultured Gemmatimonadaceae bacterium
Lineage: Bacteria; Pseudomonadati; Gemmatimonadota; Gemmatimonadia; Gemmatimonadales; Gemmatimonadaceae
Description: contains 16S-23S intergenic spacer region
Source: RNAcentral
UCCGGUUUGGCACCGGCAGUCUUCCUAGAGUCCCCGCCAUUACGCGCUGGCAACUAAGAACAGGGGUUGCGCUCGUUGCGGGACUUAACCCAACAUCUCACGACACGAACUGACGACAGCCAUGCAGCACCUCACCAGAAGCCCUUACGGGAGACCCCCUUUCAGGGGCUGUCCUCUGGUGUUCGAGCCUGGGUAAGGUUCUUCGCGUUGCAUCGAAUUAAACCACAUGCUCCACCGCUUGUGCGGGCCCCCGUCAAUUCCUUUGAGUUUCAGCCUUGCGGCCGUACUCCCCAGGCGGGGCACUUCAUGCGUUAGCGCCGGCACUCAAGGGGUCGCUCCCCCAAGCACCUAGUGCCCAUCGUUUACGGCGUGGACUAC